Molecule: small nuclear RNA, 111 nt
Organism: Polypterus senegalus (gray bichir)
Lineage: Eukaryota; Metazoa; Chordata; Cladistia; Polypteriformes; Polypteridae
Source: RefSeq, a predicted model, not a curated record
UACAUUAACAUACAGUAUAUAUUUUACUGCAAUUGGAAUGAGAACAGAAAAGAUUAGCAUAGCCCCUGACACAAGGAUGAUAGACACAAUCAUGGAAGUAUUCAUCUUGUG